RNAcentral lists this ribosomal RNA (890 nucleotides) under uncultured archaeon. RNAcentral describes it as "bacterial SSU rRNA". It matches the Rfam family "Archaeal small subunit ribosomal RNA", at positions 1 to 879 of the family's 1478-position model. The record is from RNAcentral.
CGCCUGCCCGUUCGACGAUUUUCCCGGUUGAUCCUGGCAGAGGUCACUGCUAUCGGGGUUCGAUUAAGCCAUGCGAGUCGAGAGGGUUCGGCCCUCGGCGUACUGCUCAGUAACACGUGGAUAACCUGCCCUAAGGAAGGGGAUACCCCCGGGAAACUGGGGAUAAUACCCUAUAGGUUACAGAUGCUGGAAUGCUCUGUAACCGAAAGUUCCGGCGCCUUAGGAUGGAUCUGCGGCCGAUUAGGUUGUUGUCGGGGUAACGGCCCAACAAGCCAGUAAUCGGUACGGGUUGUGGGAGCAAGAGCCCGGAGUUGGAUUCUGAGACACGAAUCCAGGCCCUACGGGGCGCAGCAGGCGCGAAAACUUUACAAUGCGGGCAACCGUGAUAAGGGAACCUCGAGUGCCUGUAUAUGCAGGCUGUCUGGGUGUCUAAAACACACCUAAAGAAAGGGCCGGGCAAGACCGGUGCCAGCCGCCGCGGUAAUACCGGCGGCUCGAGUGGUGGCCACUUUUAUUGGGCUUAAAGCGUUCGUAGCUGGGUUAUUAAGUCCCUUGGGAAAUCCGACGGCUUAACCGUCGGGCGUCUAAGGGAUACUGGCAAUCUUGGAACCGGGAGAGGUGAGGGGUACUUCGGGGGUAGGAGUGAAAUCCUGUAAUCCUCGAGGGACCGCCUGUGGCGAAGGCGCCUCACCAGAACGGCUUCGACAGUGAGGGACGAAAGCUGGGGGAGCAAACCGGAUUAGAUACCCGGGUAGUCCCAGCCGUAAACGAUGUGCGUUAGGUGUAUCGGUGACCACGAGUCACCGAGGUGCCGAAGGGAAGCCGUGAAACGUACCGCCUGGGAAGUACGGUCGCAAGGCUGAAACUUAAAGGAAUGGGCGGGGGGACAC